GACGAACGCUGGCGGCGUGCUUAACACAUGCAAGUCGAACGGAAAGGCCUCUUUCGGGGGGUACUCGAGUGGCGAACGGGUGAGUAGCACGUGAGUAACCUGCCCUUGACUUUGGGAUAACUUCAGGAAACUGGGGCUAAUACCGGAUAGGAGCUCCUGCUGCAUGGUGGGGGUUGGAAAGUUUCGGCGGUUGGGGAUGGACUCGCGGCUUAUCAGCUUGUUGGUGGGGUAGUGGCUUACCAAGGCUUUGACGGGUAGCCGGCCUGAGAGGGUGACCGGCCACAUUGGGACUGAGAUACGGCCCAGACUCCUACGGGAGGCAGCAGUGGGGAAUAUUGCACAAUGGGUGGAAGCCUGAUGCAGCAACGCCGUGUGCGGGAUGACGGCCUUCGGGUUGGAAACCGCUUUCGCUCAUGACGAAGCUUUGUGUGACGGUAGUGGGUAAAGAAGCACCGGCUAACUACGUG
This 467-nucleotide ribosomal RNA is filed under the name uncultured bacterium. RNAcentral's name for it is "partial 16S ribosomal RNA". It matches the Rfam family "Bacterial small subunit ribosomal RNA", at positions 28 to 507 of the family's 1533-position model. The record is from RNAcentral.